This 145-nucleotide unclassified non-coding RNA is filed under the name uncultured Ascomycota. RNAcentral describes it as "sequence contains ITS1". Lineage: Eukaryota; Fungi; Ascomycota. The record is from RNAcentral.
CCGAGUGAGGGCCCCCUGGCCCGACCUCCAACCCUUUUGUUGACCAAAUACCGUUGCCUCGGGGGCGACCCGGCCUCCGCGCCGGGCCCCCGACGGACCACACCAACGCUGUAUCCGUACGUCGGAGUACUCGAUGAAUCAAUCA